AUUGAACGCUGGCGGCAGGCCUAACACAUGCAAGUCGAGCGGAUGAAGGGAGCUUGCUCCUGGAUCCAGCGGCGGACGGGUGAGUAAUGCCUAGGAAUCUGCCUGGUAGUGGGGGAUAACGUCCGGAAACGGGCGCUAAUACCGCAUACGUCCUGAGGGAGCAAGUGGGGGAUCUUCGGACCUCACGCUAUCAGAUGAGCCUAGGUCGGAUUAGCUAGUUGGUGGGGUAAAGGCCUACCAAGGCGACGAUCCGUAACUGGUCUGAGAGGAUGAUCAGUCACACUGGAACUGAGACACGGUCCAGACUCCUACGGGAGGCAGCAGUGGGGAAUAGUGGACAAUGGGCGAAAGCCUGAUCCAGCCAUGCCGCGUGUGUGAAGAAGGUCUUCGGAUUGUAAAGCACUUUAAGUUGGGAGGAAGGGCAGUAAGUUAAUACCUUGCUGUUUUGACGGUACCAACAGAAUAAGCACCGGCUAACUUCGUG
This 484-nucleotide ribosomal RNA is filed under the name uncultured bacterium. Its description in RNAcentral is "partial 16S ribosomal RNA". It matches the Rfam family "Bacterial small subunit ribosomal RNA", at positions 30 to 507 of the family's 1533-position model. The record is from RNAcentral.